This 590-nucleotide ribosomal RNA is filed under the name uncultured bacterium. Its description in RNAcentral is "bacterial SSU rRNA". It matches the Rfam family "Bacterial small subunit ribosomal RNA", at positions 53 to 654 of the family's 1533-position model. The record is from RNAcentral.
ACAUGCAAGUCGAACGAGAAUUAAUCCCGGUUAAUUCUAGUGGCGGACGGGUGAGUAACACGUGAGAAUUCGCCUUUAGGAGGGGGAUAACGGAUGGAAACAUUCGCUAAAACCCCAUGUGCCCUCGGGUGAAAAAGAGAAAGUAAGUCAUACUGAUUUAUCUCUGCCUGAAGAGAAGCUCGCGGCUGAUUAGCUAGUUGGUAGGGUAAAGGCCUACCAAGGCGACGAUCAGUAGCUGGUCUGAGAGGACGAUCAGCCACACUGGAACUGAGACACGGUCCAGACUCCUACGGGAGGCAGCAGUGAGGAAUUUUCUGCAAUGGGCGAAAGCCUGACGGAGCAAUACCGCGUGGGGGAUGAAGACUUACUGAGUUGUAAACCUCGGUACCCUAAGGAAGAAGAUAUGACGGUACUUAGGGUGGAAAGCAUCGGCUAACUCCGUGCCAGCAGCCGCGGUAAGACGGGGGAUGCAAGUGUUAUCCGGAUUUACUGGGCGUAAAGCGUCUGCAGGUGGUUUCUUAAGUCUACUGUUAAAUCUUGAGGCUCAACCUCAAAUCUGCAGUAGAAACUAGGAGACUUGAGUAUAGUAG